This is a long non-coding RNA of Numida meleagris (helmeted guineafowl), 714 nucleotides long. RefSeq lists it as uncharacterized. Lineage: Eukaryota; Metazoa; Chordata; Aves; Galliformes; Numididae. The record is from RefSeq and is a predicted model, not a curated record. The transcript is spliced from 5 exons.
UGGGAAGGCAGGUGUGAGAGGACUUAGAGAUCUUUUGGGUUUACAGAUUAAGAAGAAAAAAUACUAUGCGGAGAACUAAUGGAGCUGAUGCUGCUUUAACUGGAAAAGUGAUGUCUCUAUUCCCAUGAUUCUUUCUUUUUAAGGAGAGAAAUUGUAGAGGAGUGUCCAUAGGAGAAAAACGAAGCUGGUAACGCACUGAUGUUUGUAGUUGCUGCGUGGCACUGUUAUACAGAGCCAAGUACCUUCUCAGAGAAGGGCCCAAGGAGCUGGGAGGGAACACAAUUAGGACAGCUGACCCAAACUGCCCAAUAUAUUCCACACCAUAUGACAUCAAAGGAGUUUUGUGGCAGUAACGACCCUCCUGGCUUUGAGAUUAUGCCGUGUUGUCCUGAUGUGAUGGCAAGACUCAUUUGAUGGAGAUGCAAGGCAGUCAGCCUGUGCUCCUGUCUCACCUGAGCUCCUCUCCCUGAGCAGCAGGGAUCCCCCCAAUCCUUUUCUGAACCUUCUCUGCAGCCAGUGCUCUGAAAAAUGGGGUAUGCUUUUGUUCAAUACUAUCAUUUUGUCUCUGCAAGCAGAAAUCCUCUUGCAGUAGGAACAGACAGCUUUGAAGAGUAACCUGCUUACAAAGAAAUGUCUUCUCAGCCCAAGUUCAAAAUCAUUUUGUUCUGCUAGCAAACAAAAAUGUAUGUUUGGACCCUCCAGAAGUUAAGUAAA